RNAcentral lists this transfer RNA (73 nucleotides) under Sphaerodactylus townsendi. RNAcentral's name for it is "tRNA-Tyr". It matches the Rfam family "tRNA". Rfam says of the family: Transfer RNA (tRNA) molecules are approximately 80 nucleotides in length. Their secondary structure includes four short double-helical elements and three loops (D, anti-codon, and T loops). Lineage: Eukaryota; Metazoa; Chordata; Lepidosauria; Squamata; Sphaerodactylidae. The record is from RNAcentral.
GUCUCUGUGGCACAGUUGUUAGAGCAUUAGGCUAUAGAGUGAAAGGUUGGUGGUUCAAGCCCAGCCAAAGAUG